CUCGGAUGCGUCUCGCCGCGAGCAGAACAUCGUGGAUACUUUUCAUCAGGUCACGUCACGCCGACCAGUCCUUUGACAAACAAACACCGGAACCAGAGGCGAUUGAGGCACUUGUGCUGGACUGAGGAAUAAAGAAAGAACCCAGAUCGCUGCUAAUCUUCGCGGCCAACAGAAUGCAGGCGGCUGACACCAACUUCCUGUUGAGCAAAGCAAACGUCAGAAGAGGCAAAGUUGGAGUUGUAAUGACAAGGGUGAAGCGGUAGAGGGCGCUAGUGAGUCGCCAUGCCGAGCUGAGUCUUUGGGAGGACAAUCUGUCAUUUUUGGGAGCGCGGU
Molecule: long non-coding RNA, 333 nt
Organism: Syngnathoides biaculeatus (alligator pipefish)
Lineage: Eukaryota; Metazoa; Chordata; Actinopteri; Syngnathiformes; Syngnathidae
Exons: 3
Source: RefSeq, a predicted model, not a curated record